RNAcentral lists this long non-coding RNA (564 nucleotides) under Priapulus caudatus. RNAcentral describes it as "uncharacterized LOC106813667, transcript variant X2". Lineage: Eukaryota; Metazoa; Priapulida; Priapulimorpha; Priapulimorphida; Priapulidae. The record is from RNAcentral.
GAUCUCACAGUCACCGUAAAGAGAGAGAGAUCUCAUUAUCACUGGUAGAUGCAGAACAGAUGGACUGUGGGCAGACGGACGCGCGCAGGUUCCCGGACAUACGCACCAACGCAAGAAUGUAAGCAGCAUAUAUGCAGGUGUGAAUAACGUGUGAUGAUCCCACAGUCACCUUAAGAGACAUCUCAUUAUCACUGGUGGAUGUAGAACAGACAGACUGUGGGCAGAUAGACGCAGUUGCACGCAGGUUCCCGGACACACACACCAACGCAUGCAUGUAAGCAGCGCAUAUGCAGUUAGGAUUCUCGAGACGGCCGUGUGGAAGAUGGGUCCGCGCCAAUUUAUUGUGUGUGAUCAUCUUACAGUCACCUUAAAGAGACAUUUCAUUAUCACGGGUGGAUGCAGAACAGACGGACGUGUACACGCAGACACACGCAGGUUCCCGGACACACACGCACCAACGCAUGAAUGAUCCUGCAGCCACCGUAUGGAGAGGUAUCGUGACCGCUGUUGGAUGUAGAACGCAGAUACUGGAGGACGACAAUAAAGAUUAAACGCCUAUACUUA